UAGGGAAGUCUUCGGCCAAUGGGGGCAACCCCUGACCGAGCAACGCCGCGUGAGUGAAGAAGGGUUUCGGCUCGUAAAGCUCUGUUGUUAAAGAAGAACACGUAUGAGAGUAACUGUUCAUACGUUGACGGUAUUUAACCAGAAAGUCACGGCUAACUACGUGCCAG
Molecule: ribosomal RNA, 167 nt
Filed under: uncultured bacterium
Lineage: Bacteria
Description: partial 16S rRNA
Rfam family: Bacterial small subunit ribosomal RNA
Source: RNAcentral